RNA transcript from Solanum tuberosum (potato), 1946 nucleotides. It is a transcript of the gene named eukaryotic translation initiation factor 2 subunit gamma-like, with no coding region annotated. The transcript is spliced from 9 exons. The record is from RefSeq and is a predicted model, not a curated record. NCBI's taxonomy places the organism in Eukaryota, Viridiplantae, Streptophyta, Magnoliopsida, Solanales, Solanaceae.
UAGACACCUUGUCACGCUUAAACUGCCAUCUUCCACAUUCGCCAUUUUUAUGAAUGAAUAACCCUAACUCACCAUGACAGUUUUAGCCUAAGAAAGUUUUUUCUCUACUUUCAAACUUAGCACCAUGGCCAUCUUCUUCAUUAUCAUCAUAGCAGCACUAUUAGUAUUAGUACCAAAUUCAGAAACUCCCAUCAGAAAAACAGAUCUUGAAAGACCUUUUGAAAUAAGUUUCUCUAUUCCAAGGAUUCUGAAUGGCUCAGAAAGAGAUAAUGGAGCAGCAGGAUAUAAGGAAGCUUGAUGUAACUAAGUUACAUCCGCUUUCUCCCGAAGUUAUAUCCAGGCAGCCUACAAUCAACAUUGGCCUCAUUGGCCAUGUAGCACAUGGAAAAACAACCCUUGUCAGAGCAAUCUCUGGUAUCCAGACGACUCGAUUCAAAUGUGAACUGGAGCGUAACAUAACUGUGAAACUUGGGUAUGCAAAUGCAAAAAUUUACAAAUGUGAGGAUGAAAGUUGUCCGCAACCUUUAUGCUACAUGUCAUAUGGAAGUGGUAAAGAAGAUAAUCCUCCAUGCGAUGUUCCUGGAUUCAGAAACUGCAAGAUGAAACUGCUUAGACACAUUUCUUUUGUAGAUUGCCCGGGGCAUGAGAUACUGAUGACUAGAAUGCUGAGCGGAGCAACAGUUAUGGAUGCAGCUUUUCUUCUCAUAGCUGCCAAUGAAAGUUGUCCUCAACCCCAAACUAUAGAGCAUUUGUCUGCUGUUGACAUCUUGAAGCUUCAAAACCUAAUAGUUCUUCAGAACAAAGUUGACACUAUACAGGAGCAUCAAGCUAGAAAACAGUAUAAGGCAAUCCGGGAAUUUCUGAAGGGAACAGUAGCACAAGAUGCGCCAGUUGUACCUGUUUCCUCACAGCUUAAUUACAACAUUGAUGCUGUUUGUGAAUAUAUUACAAAGAUUCCUAUCCCUAAGAGAGACUUUGUAUCACCUCCUCAUAUGGUUGUGGUUCGAUCUUUCGAUGUGAAUAAGCCUGGUUGUGGGAUUAAUGACAUGAAAGGUGGUGUUGUAGGUGGAACUAUCACUAAGGGUGUUCUAAAGGUAAAUCAGAUUGUUGAGCUUCGUCCAGGAAUCAUUGAAAAAAAUGCAGAUGGAAAAACCAUCUGUAAACCAAUAUAUUCCAGAAUUAUGUCAUUAUUUUCGGAGCAAAAUAAGCUUCAGUUUGCUGUGCCAGGAGGCCUUAUUGGGGUUGGCACGUCAAUGGAUCCUGCCCUAUCACGUAGUGAUAUGCUAGUUGGUCAAGUCCUUGGCGAUGUCGGUACACUCCCUGAAGUGUACAUCAAACUUAAAAUCAGGAAAAUUAAACUGCUGCGCCGGCUUGUAGGGGUUGAGAAAAAUGACUUUGGAAAGCAGGUGUCAAAUCUGUUGAAGGGUGAGGUUCUAAUGCUGAAUAUCUUGUCCAUGACAAUUGGGGCUCAAAUCAUUACAGUUAGAAAGAAUAGUGCAACGUUGCAACUAACUGCACCCGUAUGCACUCCCUAGCCGAGAAGGUGGUGCUCAGCCGUCGAGUUGGUGGCCACUGGCGUCUCAUUGGGUGGGGUGAGAUUGAAGACGGAGUGGCACUAGAUGUGCAAACUAUACCUGCAGAGAUGUUCUCUUAGCAAGGAGAUUCUGGCAUUGAUAAUAAUAUUGAUUUACAGUGUGAACUAGUUCUUUUGUUUUUCGUGCUCCCUUUUAGCUUAUGAAUUACUUGCAACUGAUGGAUGUUUCUUUUUAGUUUUUGCUCCUAUGGAAUAGUAUUUUUCUUUUCAGCGUUUUGGUGUGGAUUUUGUCCGCACUCUUGUCACCUAUAUUGCGAUGCUUUAAAAUCCUUUGGCCUUCACCUCUUUGUACUUUGCCAGCCCCAAUUAGGGGUGGGCAUAAUAUGGUAUUUAAAUUUUCAGUUUUGGUAAC